Molecule: long non-coding RNA, 246 nt
Filed under: Elaeis guineensis (African oil palm)
Lineage: Eukaryota; Viridiplantae; Streptophyta; Magnoliopsida; Arecales; Arecaceae
Description: long non-coding RNA (EGUI_LNC073457)
Source: RNAcentral
GAAUCUCAUCAGGUUGAUAUCAUCAAUACUAUGAUAUCUUUUGAGAACUUUUGAUUUUAUAUCUUCAGAAAGUAUGUCUGGGAUUAUUCCAAAUUUGAGCCACCGGUGAUAGUAGAACCAGAUAGGAAAAAUUUCUCAAUAUCUGAAUUUUAUGAACCAUGAAUGCCUGUAUUCUAGAUUUUGGAUAUAAAGAAAAUUGAUCCAAGCUUUCUGAUAAUCCCAAUAACUGAAUUCUUUAUCUCCAUA